Molecule: ribosomal RNA, 245 nt
Filed under: Burkholderia cenocepacia
Lineage: Bacteria; Pseudomonadati; Pseudomonadota; Betaproteobacteria; Burkholderiales; Burkholderiaceae
Description: partial 16S ribosomal RNA
Rfam family: Bacterial small subunit ribosomal RNA
Source: RNAcentral
ACGGUCGCAAGAUUAAAACUCAAAGGAAUUGACGGGGACCCGCACAAGCGGUGGAUGAUGUGGAUUAAUUCGAUGCAACGCGAAAAACCUUACCUACCCUUGACAUGGUCGGAAUCCCGCUGAGAGGCGGGAGUGCUCGAAAGAGAACCGGCGCACAGGUGCUGCAUGGCUGUCGUCAGCUCGUGUCGUGAGAUGUUGGGUUAAGUCCCGCAACGAGCGCAACCCUUGUCCUUAGUUGCUACGCA